This 496-nucleotide ribosomal RNA is filed under the name uncultured bacterium. RNAcentral's name for it is "partial 16S ribosomal RNA". It matches the Rfam family "Bacterial small subunit ribosomal RNA", at positions 28 to 507 of the family's 1533-position model. The record is from RNAcentral.
GAUGAACGCUGGCGGCGUGCUUAAUACAUGCAAGUCGAGCGAACGGACGAGACGCUUGCUUCUCUGAUGUUAGCGGCGGACGGGUGAGUAACACGUGGAUAACCUCCUUAUAAGACUGGGAUAACUACGGGAAACCGUAUCUAAUACCGGAUAAUAUUCUGAACCGCAUGGUUCAAAAGUGAAAGACGGUCUUGCUGUAUCUAAUAGAUGGAUCCGCGCUGCAUUAACGAGUUGGUGGGGUAACGGCUUACCAGGGCAACGGUGCAUAGCCGACCUGGGAGGGUGUUCGGCGCCGCAGGGAGUGAGAGGCGGUCCAGACUCGGACGGAAGGCAGCGGCAGGGACUCUUGGGAAAUGGGCGAAAGCCUGACGGAGCAACGGAGGGUGGGUGAAGAAGGGCUGCGGGUGGUAAAACGCUGUUAUUGGGGAAGAACAUAUGUGUAUGUAACGGAGCACAUCUGAAGGGUACCGAAUCAGAAGGCCAGGCCAAAUUCCUG